This 1567-nucleotide long non-coding RNA is filed under the name Ananas comosus (pineapple). Its description in RNAcentral is "long non-coding RNA (ACOM_LNC041468)". Lineage: Eukaryota; Viridiplantae; Streptophyta; Magnoliopsida; Poales; Bromeliaceae. The record is from RNAcentral.
CAUGGUGGAGAGCACGGGUAGAGGUAGCCGAGGAGCUCGAAUUCGACGCCGACGACGCGCCGCGAAGUCGUUCGAGGGUACGGUUGGGAUCGUAGCACUGCGAGGAAGAUAGGCGAGGGUGUAUUUUCGCCGUUCUCGACGCCGCAUCGAUGUCCAAUUAGCCUUUGAGGUGAGUGUUCCGUUGCAUUGCUUCAAGUAUUAUCAUUUCGAGCUUGGUGCUGAUUUGCAGAAUUUCCAGCGCCGACCGUCGGUAUUUCAGUUCGUACUCGGCGUAGGAGUGUCGGGUUUCGACGGGAGUUGGUUCGUUGGAUUCGAGACUUCGAGAGGAAUCCACGAAGCCCUUACUUGCUGGAUUUGGUAACGGUUUGCUAGGUCGGAAUUUCGCUCUUCUCUGUUGCUGUUUUUGGAGGCAGAGUUAAUGUUUAUUGUCGGAUUCUCCGUGUAGAGUUUAGCGGGAGCUUGACUUUGGGCCUUGGGAGGUUUUCGGACGUUUCAGCAGGUUGUUCCGUAGCCGAGGGGAGUUCCGUGCUGCCAGGGAUUAGCGAUCGAGGUGGGUUAUAUCGGUUUAUUCCUAAGUAUUAUAGUAGUCGACAUGUAUGAUUUCCUGUUUUUGUAAAUCAUGUGGUAGCUCAAUUUCGUCGAUUGUAUAAUGAAUGAAAUUAGCUUGAGAGAAUGACUUGUAACUAUAAAUAUAUAUGUUGGACUUAGAAUUAAACUUAGGAGAAAACCAGCGUUCGGGACCUGGCAUAUGUUAAACUACCUGAUUUAGCCUAGGAGCCGUUGUAUUAUUUUAUACUGUUGCAGUAUCCUCAUAGUGAGUAUUCCAGGUAGUUUAGUUUUUAGUUACGCUCGUGCUGGGAUGCCGAGUGUAUUUUUACAGUAGAGUUCAGGCUGUUCCGGACUGUUGGAUGCCGUCGGAGUUGACGGUGGACUCGUAUCGCCUUUUUGGCGUUAGAUUGUGCCGAGGGCACGUUAUCUGUUGGUUGUUAGACCAGUUAGAGUCGGUUACUUGACUUAGCCUGUGAGAGCGGUAUGAACUUGACAGAGAUACUUGUAAACUCGUUGGGUCGCGCCCACGAAUGCCAUUCCGGAAUGAGGUUUCAGUGCGAUGAGUGUCGCAGUUUCUGUUGGACAGUUCUUGAGCCGGCUACCCUCAGGGUGGUGUACGGCGCAGCUAGAUACAGGCAGAGUGGGUCCGUUUUGGGCAGCCCGGGUGAGAUAGUGAGUGACGCUUUUCCCUACCUUUGGUGAAGUUGUGACGUGAGUGGAGUCUUAGCCGUCCUGUUGGACCUUUUCUAGAACCGACUACUCUUGUGAUAUGGUGUAGUCUAAUUAGGCGAGACGGGUGUAUUCACAGUCUUUAGAGAGUUUUCUCCGCCGGUUACUCUUAAGAUACGGUGUAGUCUAGUAGAUGAGAGGGGUGCAUUCACAGUCUCUAGAGAGUCUUCUCCGCCGGUUACUCUCGAGCUACGGCGUCACCUAAUUAGACGGGAUGGAUGUAUUCACAGUCCCUAGAGAGUUUUCUCCACCAGCUACUCCUAGAGUAGGUUACGGGUUCGAUCCGACA